This 253-nucleotide ribosomal RNA is filed under the name uncultured bacterium. RNAcentral describes it as "partial 16S ribosomal RNA". It matches the Rfam family "Bacterial small subunit ribosomal RNA", at positions 524 to 776 of the family's 1533-position model. The record is from RNAcentral.
UACGUAGGGUGCGAGCGUUGUCCGGAAUUACUGGGCGUAAAGAGUUCGUAGGCGGUUUGUCGCGUCGUUCGUGAAAACUUGGGGCUUAACUCCAAGCGUGCGGGCGAUACGGGCAGACUUGAGUACUACAGGGGAGACUGGAAUUCCUGGUGUAGCGGUGAAAUGCGCAGAUAUCAGGAAGAACACCAAUGGCGAAGGCAGCUCUCUGGGACGGUACUGACGCUGAGACGCGAAAGCGUGGGGAGCGAACAGG